GAUGAACGCUGGCGGCGUGCCUAAUACAUGCAAGUCGAGCGAACAGACGAGGAGCUUGCUCCUCUGACGUUAGCGGCGGACGGGUGAGUAACACGUGGAUAACCUACCUAUAAGACUGGGAUAACUUCGGGAAACCGGAGCCAAUACCGGAUAAUAUAUUGAACCGCAUGGUUCAAUAGUGAAAGACGGUUUUGCUGUCACUUAUAGAUGGAUCCGCGCCGCAUUAGCUAGUUGGUAGGGUAACGGCUUACCAAGGCAACGAUGCGUAGCCGACCUGAGAGGGGGAUCGGCCACACUGGAACUGAGACACGGUCCAGACUCCUACGGGAGGCAGCAGUAGGGAAUUUUCCGCAAUGGGCGAAAGCCUGACGGAGCAACGCCGCGUGAGUGAUGAAGGUCUUCGGAUCGUAAAACUCUGUUAUUAGGGAAGAACAAAUGUGUAAGUAACUAUGCACGUCUUGACGGUACCUAAUCAGAAAGCCACGGCUAACUACGUG
This 497-nucleotide ribosomal RNA is filed under the name uncultured bacterium. RNAcentral describes it as "partial 16S ribosomal RNA". It matches the Rfam family "Bacterial small subunit ribosomal RNA", at positions 28 to 507 of the family's 1533-position model. The record is from RNAcentral.